UUAAAUUAAGAAAUCCAUUAAAUAAUUAUUUUCUUUUUUUAUUUCUCUCCAAAGAUAAAUAAGAGUUUCAUCGAUAAAGCAAAGAUUAAAGUCCAAUACAAUUAAUUUGAGUUCAAUACAUGUAAAGGUCAUGGCCUGAAGCAGAGUUCUAACAUUACCUGGAACUAACCCAUCCUAAACAUGAGACCAAAGCCCGCAAACACCAAAACCCUAAAAGGAAAGGAUCCAUGCCCGAAUCCCUUUACCUGACUAUAGGAAUUUGUUGCGCUGCAGAUCGAAGGCAGAGAAAACUCAUUGCUUUGUUGAUUGUUUGGCUAGACAAACACCAACCUAGGGGAGACUCAUCUGACUAAAGCUAGAUGAGAAAAGUCAGCUGAAAAGCCUGAUGAAAGAGGUCUCCCAAAAACAGCACCCCCCGAAAAAAACCAACUCAAGAAACGCAGCACAAAUCAAACAGAACUAGUAGAAACACUGAGGGGGCAAAGCUUUGGCCACUAUUCUCUCAACUUUGAAGGGCUGGUAGGGCCCGAAAGCAGCGCCGUAAUGUCCCCAAGUUACCCAGUCCCUGUGGAGGUCGAAAAGCACCAUUAAAGCGCACAAAGCAGGACCAAGAAGAACCCUUGCCGUUGAAGCUCAGAACUUGCAAACAACCCAACAAAAAUAUGUACAAAACCCACUCGGAGGUGGGGAGGGGAAACCCACGUGCAGGAUCCCCCGCCCGGAAGGGGUAGGGGACAAUGCGAACACCAACAGACGAACGACGUAAAGUCUCGGAGAGAGAACUUUCUCUCGCUAACAAACUAGAGAGAUAGUCAAUAUCUUUUUUUUAAUAUUAAAUAAUUAUUUUCAUUCUUUUCUUAAGUUGAUGAGAACAUAACCUAUGUAUUACGUAAUUAUUACCACAAAAUCAUGUAAAUUUUAUGCAAAUGAGAAUUAAAUUCAUG
RNAcentral lists this unclassified non-coding RNA (944 nucleotides) under Hevea brasiliensis (rubber tree). The record is from RNAcentral. Lineage: Eukaryota; Viridiplantae; Streptophyta; Magnoliopsida; Malpighiales; Euphorbiaceae.